RNAcentral lists this ribosomal RNA (465 nucleotides) under uncultured bacterium. RNAcentral describes it as "partial 16S ribosomal RNA". It matches the Rfam family "Bacterial small subunit ribosomal RNA", at positions 39 to 523 of the family's 1533-position model. The record is from RNAcentral.
GCGGCGUGCUUCAUACAUGCAAGUCGAACGAGAGGCAGGAGCUUGCUCCUGUGGAAAGUGGCGGACGGGUGAGUAACACGUAGGAAAUCUGCCUUUGGGUGGGGGACAACAGUUGGAAACGACUGCUAAUACCCCAUAUGAGCUUGGUUGCAAUACCAAUCUUGAAAACUCCGGUGCCUAAAGAUGAGCCUGCGUCUGAUUAGCUUGUUGGCGGGGUAAUGGCCCACCAAGGCGACGAUCAGUAGCUGGCUUGAGAGGGUGAUCAGCCACAACGGGACUGAGACACGGCCCAUACUCCUACGGGAGGCAGCAGUAGGGAAUUUUGAGCAAUGGGGGAAACCUUGACGCGGCAACGCCGCGUGAAUGACGAAGCCCUUCGGGGUGUAAAGUUCUGUCAGUAGGGAAGAAUUUUGACUGUACCUACAAAGGAAGCACCGGCUAACUCCGUGCCAGCCGCCGCAGUAA